Molecule: non-coding RNA, 420 nt
Organism: Paramuricea clavata
Lineage: Eukaryota; Metazoa; Cnidaria; Anthozoa; Malacalcyonacea; Plexauridae
Source: the annotation of a GenBank genome assembly
AUUUCAAACAGACUUGAUACGUUAUAUGUUUCUCUAGAAAAUUAUAUUUUGGUUGAUGUUGAGAUGCAGUUGCAUGUUAUAAGCCUAUUCGAAACACUUUGCGAUUUACAAGGCUUCGCUGAGAGAGCGAAACAGAAGACGGUAUUAAAUUGCCGUUUGAAACGAAACGACCUGAACUCUGAACGCUCUCUUCUUUUGUAGAGUUCUUUACCAAAUGAAAUAACUGAAAUAAAUUUCGUACUUUCCGCCGCCAACAAGAAUUGCACACACGAUCUGAUAUAAAGUGAGACAAUUUAUUUAUAACAAUGGCGACAGCGAAGCACACAUAUAAAAUGCUAAUGUGGUCGCACGACUUCCCUCACGAUUUGAAGUUUGAGACUGGUUUUCUGUUGAAAUUCGUCCUAAUUUGCCUGUUCCGAU